CUUGAAGAAAAUGAAAGCAGCAAAAGCAUCUUCGAAUUCAUCAUCAUCAUCAUCGACCAGCAGUGUCCUUGCCUUUCUCUUCACUGUCCUCUUCUUUCUCGUGCUGUGUUUUCAAGGUAUGUCCUCUGGAAGUUCCGCUGUGAUUUCUCACGAUUCCCCUCAACCAAGUGGAUCAAGAUCGAAUAGCUUUAUUAUUCAACAAUACAACUCUGAUCUGUCUGCCAGAACUGCUACUAAAAGUGCUGGCUCACACAAUUUAGUAGGGCAGAUUUCUGGAUCAGAUCCUAAGGGCAGCCCGAAAAGUGUAGCGAGUUGAAGUGUAGUGUGAUUGCCGAUUGGGGGUGAAUUUUAGAUUAUACAAAUAUGAAUAGGAACUGCCAACAUGUCUAUGAUUUUGUGCAAGCUCUCUGAAGAUCUGCAACAUUUGUAUACCUUGUACAGUGAUAUAUGUUGUUUGGUGAGAGAAUUAAUUGUUUCUGCAGCAUGCUAAUUGAUAUAUUGAGUGAUAGUUUUCUUUAGGAACUACAUUUGUGACAAAAUAAUGACUGUCUUUUACAAUAUAGGUAGGAUAUAUAUAGUUCACUGAAGAGAGAUAGUUUUGCGGGACUUCUUAAUUCCCUCGAAUGGCGAAUAGAGUAGAAGGUAAAAAGAUCCUUUUAAGCGCUACUAAAGUCUUUUACAUUAUGCAGAGUACUGGGCCUAAUCAGCGUCUUUUCUUCUUAUCAGUUGGAAUUUUGUACUUUAAAAAGUGUAAUGUUG
This 759-nucleotide unclassified non-coding RNA is filed under the name Hevea brasiliensis (rubber tree). The record is from RNAcentral. Lineage: Eukaryota; Viridiplantae; Streptophyta; Magnoliopsida; Malpighiales; Euphorbiaceae.